Molecule: ribosomal RNA, 159 nt
Filed under: Rhexia virginica (Virginia meadow beauty)
Lineage: Eukaryota; Viridiplantae; Streptophyta; Magnoliopsida; Myrtales; Melastomataceae
Also listed under: 5 other names
Description: 5.8S ribosomal RNA
Rfam family: 5.8S ribosomal RNA
About the family: 5.8S ribosomal RNA (5.8S rRNA) is a component of the large subunit of the eukaryotic ribosome. It is transcribed by RNA polymerase I as part of the 45S precursor that also contains 18S and 28S rRNA.
Source: RNAcentral
AACGACUCUCGGCAACGGAUAUCUCGGCUCUUGCAUCGAUGAAGAACGUAGCGAAAUGCGAUACUUGGUGUGAAUUGCAGAAUCCCGCGAACCAUCAAUUCUUUGAACGCAAGUUGCGCCCGAAGCCAUUCGGCCGAGGGCACGCCUGCCUGGGUGUCG